ACUUGUUCCUACAACCUGGUCAUUUGUUCUUCAAUGGGAUGGAAACAUUCAUAUGUCCGAAUAACUGCGGUCGCAAGUACAGAUACAUGAAAUGCUUGAAGAGACACUUGAGAUACGAAUGCGGUACAAAACCUCAAUUCAAAUGCGAAAUAUGUGGCAGAAAAUUCAACCAUAAUGUUACGUUGAGAACACAUCUAGGAUUGGUUCACAAGAUGACCGUUGAUAAAAGAUGAUAAUAAACGAUUUGAAUUUCUAAAUCGGAAACUAUACUUUCAUUUUUGUACCUUUGACUUUUGUGAUUCUGUUUCGGGUUAAAUAUUAUUUCAAUUGUUCGGACCAACUUGCUCAGAAACGAUCUGUGACCGGUUUCAUGUGCCCUAAUAACUGCGGACAUAAGUACGAGUAUAAAAGAAACCUACAAAGACAUUUGAGAUACGAAUGCGGAAUCGAACGUAAAUUUAAUUGUACUUUUUGUGGCAGAAAAUUCGCCCAAAAAAUUUCGCUGAAAAAACACGUAUUCUUAAUUCAUAAACUUCAUCCUGAUGUUUGAAAUUUUGUUGUGUAAUGUUAAUUAUCGAAGUACUACCCGUACCAGGAUCCGUCUUCGACUGAAUAUUCCAACAAUACGAAGCCAUUUUCAUGUCCGAAAAAUUGCGGCCGAAAGUACAAAUAUAAAGCUGGCGUUUACCAACAUUUGAAAUUCGAAUGUGGCAAAGAACGCCAAUUCCAGUGCGAAAUUUGCCUUAAAAAGUUCGUUUUUCGAAAUAAUCUCAAGACACAUUGUAUCAAUAAACAUGGAAGUACAUAUUGCUCUAUGGUACUUCAGUGAUGAAUUAGCCAAUUUACUGUGCCCAAAUAAUUGCGGUCGUAAAUAUAAAUACAAGGGGAGUUUGAUACGUCAUUUGAGACUGGAAUGCGGAGUCGAGCCUCAAUUUCAAUGCGACGACUGUGGCAAAAAAUUCGUCCAACGGGUUCAUCUCAAGUCUCAUUGUUUCAGAAGACGUCAUAAUGCUUUACAACUUUGAAUUAGAAAUCAUUAAUAUUAUAAUGUAUUAUGUAUUAUUAUAAAUGUUUGUAUUCUGGAUUUUUUAUUCUCUUGCUUUGGAGUCGAAAUUUCGAGCAUAAUCUCCUCCUCUCAUUUUUUCGGUUGCAAGCUAUUAUAGGUAUUGUAUUAUUUUUUACAAGUCUCCUCUUCGUGAUUAUUCCUUUUAUGAUUUAUAUUCUUGUACAUAAUUCAUAAUUCUCAUUUAAGUGUUUAAUUUGAUUGAUGUUGCGUAAUUAAUAAGUAAUAAUUAGUGCAUCUGUGAUAUCCUACGUUAAUCCUCGUGAAAUUGAAUGAUCUUCUGAAUAGUUAUUAAAAGUAUCUACAAGCUAA
Long non-coding RNA from Planococcus citri (citrus mealybug), 1375 nucleotides. RefSeq lists it as uncharacterized. The transcript is spliced from 4 exons. NCBI's taxonomy places the organism in Eukaryota, Metazoa, Arthropoda, Insecta, Hemiptera, Pseudococcidae. The record is from RefSeq and is a predicted model, not a curated record.